This is a long non-coding RNA of Syngnathus acus (greater pipefish), 569 nucleotides long. RefSeq lists it as uncharacterized. The transcript is spliced from 4 exons. The record is from RefSeq and is a predicted model, not a curated record. NCBI's taxonomy places the organism in Eukaryota, Metazoa, Chordata, Actinopteri, Syngnathiformes, Syngnathidae.
GCGAAGAAGAAUUUUGACCAAUCACAGCGCCCAGUACGAUCCCAGCAAGCGAAGAAGGAUUUUGACCAAUCACUGUGCCCGAUAUCAUCUAAUCAAGCAAAGAAGAAUUCUGACCAAUCACAGCGCUUGAUGCAAUCCCAUCCAUAAGUGUCACUCGAUCGCAACAGUGGCGCUCGGGUUCGUUUCGGACGCGAUGCACCGCAUUGAUGAGCUGCUUGUUGACAUCUCGGCUCCGUCGACGCUGCACGGCGGCGGCGGCCAAUUUUCACCAGGACGCGAGAAGAAAGCGAGGGGAGGCGUCGAUGAGCAGGAGGAAGAGGAGGAGGAGGAAGAGGAGGGGGGCGGAGGUGAGUACAAGCGAGGACCCGCCAAGAACAGAUUAGCGUAGCCGAGAUAGCCCGCUGGGAUCGAUGCAACUUAUCUGCCGCGCCGGUCCGGCUUUGUUGAUGACACCUGAAGCUUGCGCAUCCGGCUCACCUUUGUCCCGCUUCGCCGCGCCAGGAAUGCCAAGCACGAUGACGAGCAACGGCAAACUCGUGUCCCAAGUAUGCGCGACGGUCGCGAGUCGC